RNAcentral lists this ribosomal RNA (253 nucleotides) under uncultured bacterium. Its description in RNAcentral is "partial 16S ribosomal RNA". It matches the Rfam family "Bacterial small subunit ribosomal RNA", at positions 524 to 776 of the family's 1533-position model. The record is from RNAcentral.
UACGUAGGGGGCAAGCGUUAUCCGGAUUUACUGGGUGUAAAGGGAGCGUAGACGGCAAAGCAAGUCUGAAGUGAAAGCCCGGGGCUCAACCCCGGGACUGCUUUGGAAACUGUUCUGCUAGAGUGCUGGAGAGGUAAGCGGAAUUCCAAGUGUAGCGGUGGAAUGCGCAGAUAUUUGGAAGAACACCGGUGGCGAAAGCGGCUCUCUGGUCUGUAACUGACGCUGAGGCUCGAAAGCAUGGGGAGCAAACAGG